Long non-coding RNA from Cervus elaphus (red deer), 2221 nucleotides. RefSeq lists it as uncharacterized. The transcript has 3 exons. The record is from RefSeq and is a predicted model, not a curated record. Lineage: Eukaryota; Metazoa; Chordata; Mammalia; Artiodactyla; Cervidae.
GCGCCCAGCACCCACACCCUCCCGCGCGGAUGCUGAGCUGGAGGAGAGCUGGGCGCAGGGUAGAAGGGCGCCGGCGGGGACUCUGGGCGCCUCCAGCGCUGGAGAAGUGGCGCCGCCGGAGGCAGACGGACCAGCGUUCCCUGUUCUUGACAUUCUACUGAGAUUCUAUUAAAUGGUGCCUGGUACUUGUUCCUCAAGAGAAAACGUAUUAAAUGCAACAUCUGGGUAUUUCAAGUGUGAUACAAGGGGCUGCGGAGAGCUGUGUGGCAGCCUUGACUUUCCAUCAGAGACUUCUUGAGAUCCUCUGAGUGUGCUUCCCGGGAGUGGCACGAAGUUUUCCACUUGGAGUCAUGUUUAAUGUUUAUGAGUCUGAUUCUGGAUGGUGGCCUGGCUGGGGCUGCGAUGAAGAAAGGGCCAGGCUCCUGCAGAAAUAUGACUCAAGUGGCUCUGAGGGUCCAAUUUCCUGUCUGUCAAGGGCUUGAGCUCCUGAUGUUUAAGUACAAGAGAUGCUGAGCUGGCACAGAAACUGGCAUCAUCACCAAAGGCUUUGUGCCAUGAGUAAGUUAUAUAGACACCACAGCACAUGUGGAAUAAGCCCGGCCCUCCUCUCAUGGAAGUGUCAACAUCAGGGACUGAGCUUGGCCAAGCAACACAAUGCAAAGCCGUCAAACUAGGCACCUCAGUACAAGGAGAGAAAGGCAUAUUUGGAAACCGACAAUACCACCAAAAUGAAAUACGUGAUGGAGCAGGAGUGCCCUGUCAUCUCACACCUGCUUCCCAAGCCCCAGCUGCAUGAGUAUUCUGUGUAUUGGAAGCCAUGCUGGGAGAGAAUGAAUUAAUUUUCCCCCCUGAGCUGAUGAGUUGUGUUCUGCAAUAUGCACCACCUACACAAUCAACUGAAUCCAAAAAUAAAAUGAGUGGAUGAAGACUCCAGUGGGAGGCACAGAAUGAAGAUAAACAAUAUGACUAUCUUUUAGGCCAACAAGAUAUAUACCCAGAAGAAGAAUUUGUGGAUCACAUCGUACCUCUAUUUUUAUUUUUUUAAGGACACUCCAUAUUGUUCUCCAUAGUGGCUGCACCAAUUUAACUCCCUCCAAAAGUGUAGGAGGGUUCUAUAAAGGUAGUAUUUUUAACCCUUAUUUUACAAACAAGAAAAUCAAGGUAUGGAGACAUUAAACUCAACUCAAGUCCCCCAGCUGGAAAGUGACACGCCAGCGUUCAGUCCUAGUACAGGUUCUGACCACAUACUGCUUGCUCUUCACUUUUACAGGGUCUUUUAUCCAGUGAUUAUUCAAAUACAAGCAGAAAUUUCAAAUGGGAUGAAUGUGUUCUCUUGUUGGAGAAAUAAAGCAACCAAAUGGGUUUUCUCUCACGUGUUGACCCAUACGACAUUAUUAGGCAAUAACUCUAAUGACCAGAGGUAAAUGUCCUAAAAUGCAAACCUUAAGAAAGCUGCCUCCUGUUACACGUUCUGCUCCUACCCUGAGCUUUGAGUUGACCUGCUUUAUCAGUCUGGCUUCUGCAAAACCUUUUUUGAGACAGAACUAUGUUUUCUUGGGUCUAGAGCCAGGAAAUUAUUUUUAUCUUUAUACAUUGGCCAUAUCUUUGAAACUCAAUAUAUAGUGCAGUGAUUUUUUUUAAACAACUGUGUAGAUCUGUUUGGGUCUGGUGAAACACAGGCUACAUUUUUAAAAUUACUAUAGUUUUUUUUUAUUAUAAGCAUGUUCAUUGUUGGCAUUUUUCAUUUAUUUCAUUUAUUUUUGAAAGGGCAAGAGGAGAAGCCAGUGUCACCAUAACUCAAGGCUGGAGGCUUGGAGGUGGGACGAUCUUCUGGGGUGGUAAUCUUAGAGAGGUAGGGCUAUUGUCAGAGUCUUGGCACCAAGUCAGAGAAAAGGCAGGACAGAAAUAUUCUGAUAUGUCUUUCCUCUUGCUCUCUGGGGUCUGGUUGGUGCCUCCCACUGGACAGACCCAACUGGAAGACAGAAGGUUAAGGUCAACUUUUUAGUAUAGGUCAACUUUUUAAAGCUCAGAAAGGCCAGCACAUAGAUCUUGUUGAGAAUGUUUGGGAAAUGGAGAUGGGAUUUUCCACUGGUGAGUUUCAUACCUGGGGACAGGGAAGCUGGUGCUGAAAAGCUUCUGAGUCACUUCUGUUUGCUUUCUGCUCUUUGCCAGCUGAGUACCCCACUGUUAUUCAACUUCUUCAUGCUAAAUUGUGGGGAUG